UCAUCCCAUGUGUACAAAGCCGCGAGCUCCUAGGGAGAACACCCCAAACACCUAAGCCCAUCCUUUGAUACUCCUCUCUUGAUUCAAUCGUCCACCAAGCCAAAAAACACGCAGACCCCUUUCUUCUCCUACUCCCCUCAAGCCGCGAGUUAUCUAAGAGGGGAACAACCAUUCAAGUUUCCAUUUUCCCUGUAUGGUGCGGCUGAGUGGCAGCAAGCAGCCAAGAAGAACGCACCAUGAGUCCAUUUUCUUGCUUGUCUUGUUCGGCCGUGAGUUACAUGUUACCUUUUCGGUUCUUAAAGGAACUCCCCUGCAUGCAGCAGCAACCCGACUUAUGACAAGAAAAACCAGCAACCUUGAGUUUUGACUCAAGCUUCUUUCUUCGCAAGAACAAUGAAAGGUGAAGGUGCUGUCCUCUUAUGGUUGGGGCACACGAACUGAUUUUGGGAGCUGGUUGGGAACAUAUGCAAGGUAGGAAUCUGAACCGUGUCCUCCCUUUUUUUUCCUCCCUCUAAUUCGGCAUUUUGUUAUGUAUUCAAGAAGAAGAUGUUGUGCCAUUUCUCCUUUGUGUUCUGCCAUUGGGAAAAACCCAUGAACUUGGUGCUUGUUAGCACAAGGAGAAUCCAAUUGGUGAGCUUGGAAGUGGCUCCCAUUAAUUUGGUGGGACGGUAGCUGGAAUUAGAAAAAUUAAUUAAGUUGCAUGUGUCCAUUUGGUUAAAGACAGCAUACUAUCAUUGAAUUACUCUGAUUAAGUAAUAGUAGUAGGGUUAUAUUAGAGGAAGGAUUAGAAUUCAUUAGGGAUUAGCCUUAAAAUUAAAUGUAGGCAGAAAAUUAAUAAGCGAUUGGAACCGAGCUUUGUAUGUACCAUAGCAUGUGUAGACAGCUUAAAUUAUGCCCCUUCAAUGACUCCAAAACCGUAUAGGCAAGGGAUG
Molecule: long non-coding RNA, 932 nt
Organism: Gastrolobium bilobum
Lineage: Eukaryota; Viridiplantae; Streptophyta; Magnoliopsida; Fabales; Fabaceae
Exons: 3
Source: RefSeq, a predicted model, not a curated record